Molecule: ribosomal RNA, 253 nt
Filed under: uncultured bacterium
Lineage: Bacteria
Description: partial 16S ribosomal RNA
Rfam family: Bacterial small subunit ribosomal RNA
Source: RNAcentral
UACGAGGGGGGCAAGCGUUGUUCGGAUUUAUUGGGCGUAAAGGGUGCGUAGGCGGUUUGGCAAGUCUUGUGUGAAAGCCCCGGGCUCAACCUGGGAAUGGCAAUGGAUACUGGCAGGCUAGAGUGCGGUAGAGGGUAGUGGAAUUCCCGGUGUAGCGGUGAAAUGCGUAGAGAUCGGGAGGAACACCAGUGGCGAAGGCGGCUACCUGGACCAGCACUGACACUGAGGCACGAAAGCGUGGGGAGCAAACAGG